AACGCUAGCUACAGGCUUAACACAUGCAAGUCGAGGGGCAGCAUGAUUGAAGCUUGCUUCAAUUGAUGGCGACCGGCGCUCGGGUGAGUAACACGUAUCCAACCUGCCGAUGACUCGGGGAUAGCCUUUCGAAAGAAAGAUUAAUACCCGAUGGCAUAGUUCUUCCGCAUGGUGGAACUAUUAAAGAAUUUCGGUCAUCGAUGGGGAUGCGUUCCAUUAGGUUGUUGGCGGGGUAACGGCCCACCAAGCCUUCGAUGGAUAGGGGUUCUGAGAGGAAGGUCCCCCACAUUGGAACUGAGACACGGUCCAAACUCCUACGGGAGGCAGCAGUGAGGAAUAUUGGUCAAUGGACGAGAGUCUGAACCGGCCAAGUAGCGUGAAGGAUGACUGCCCUAUGGGUUGUAAACUUCUUUUAUACGGGAAUAAAGUGAGGCACGUGUGCCUUUUUGUAUGUACCGUAUGAAUAAGGAUCGGCUAACUCCGUGCCAGCAGCCGCGGUAAUACGGAGGAUCCGAGCGUUAUCCGGAUUAUUGGGUUUAAAGGGAGCGUAGGCGGACGCUUAAGUCAGUUGUGAAAGUUUGCGGCUCAACCGUAAAAUUGCAGUUGAUACUGGGUGUCUUGAGUACAGUAGAGGCAGGCGGAAUUCGUGGUGUAGCGGUGAAAUGCUUAGAUAUCACGAAGAACUCCGAUUG
RNAcentral lists this ribosomal RNA (692 nucleotides) under uncultured bacterium. RNAcentral's name for it is "bacterial SSU rRNA". It matches the Rfam family "Bacterial small subunit ribosomal RNA", at positions 32 to 715 of the family's 1533-position model. The record is from RNAcentral.